This 1344-nucleotide ribosomal RNA is filed under the name uncultured bacterium. RNAcentral's name for it is "bacterial SSU rRNA". It matches the Rfam family "Bacterial small subunit ribosomal RNA", at positions 82 to 1417 of the family's 1533-position model. The record is from RNAcentral.
UGCCGGGCGUCGACCGGCGAAUGGGUGAGUAACGCGUAUCCAACCUGCCCCUGUCCCGGGAAUAGCCCUUGGAAACGAGGAUUAACGCCCGAUUUGCGGAUUUGCCGCAUGGCAGUUCCGUGAAAUGCCUAAGGACGGGGAUGGGGAUGCGUCUGAUUAGCCAGCUGGCGGGGUAACGGCCCACCAGGGCUUCGAUCAGUAGGGGUUCUGAGAGGAAGGUCCCCCACACUGGAACUGAGACACGGUCCAGACUCCUACGGGAGGCAGCAGUGAGGAAUAUUGGUCAAUGGCCGAGAGGCUGAACCAGCCAAGUAGCGUGAGGGAACGAAGGCCCUAUGGGUUGUAAACCUCUUUUAUGCGGGGAGUAAAGAGCGCCACGCGUGGCGUGUUGCAGAGUACCGCAUGAAUAAGGACCGGCUAAUUCCGUGCCAGCAGCCGCGGUAAUACGGAGGAUGCGAGCGUUAUCCGGAUUUAUUGGGUUUAAAGGGAGCGCAGGCGGAGCGCCAAGUCAGCCGUCAAAUGGCUCAGCUCAACUGAGUCCUGCGGUUGAAACUGGCGCCCUUGGGUGCACAAGAGGCAGGCGGAACUCGUGGUGUAGCGGUGAAAUGCAUAGAUAUCACGAAGAACUCCGAUUGCGAAGGCAGCUUGCUGGGGUGUUACCGACGCUCAUGCUCGAAGGCGCGGGUAUCAAACAGGAUUAGAUACCCUGGUAGUCCGCGCAGUAAACGAUGGAUGCCCGUCGGUCGCGGCCUUUUAGUGGCUACGCCGCCGAGCGAAAGCGUUAAGCAUCCCACCUGGGGAGUACGCCGGCAACGGUGAAACUCAAAGGAAUUGACGGGGGCCCGCACAAGCGGAGGAACAUGUGGUUUAAUUCGAUGAUACGCGAGGAACCUUACCCAGGCUCGAACGGUCGGUGCGGAUGCUGGGCAGAGUAUCGCCCUGCUUUCUUCGGACCGCUUCCUAGGUGCUGCAUGGUUGUCGUCAGCUCGUGCCGUGAGGUGUCGGCUUAAGUGCCAUAACGAGCGCAACCCUUUCCGCCGGUUGCCAUCGGGUAAUGCCGGGCACUCCGUCGGUACUGCCGCCGCAAGGCGUGAGGAAGGUGGGGAUGACGUCAAAUCAGCACGGCCCUUACGUCCGGGGCCACACACGUGUUACAAUGGGGGGCACAGCGAGCUGGAUGCAGGCGACUGCAUUCGAAUCAAUAAAUCCCCUCCCAGUUCGGACUGGAGUCUGCAACCCGACUCCACGAAGCUGGAUUCGCUAGUAAUCGCGCAUCAGCCAUGGCGCGGUGAAUACGUUCCCGGGCCUUGUACACACCGCCCGUCAAGCCAUGAAAGCCGGGGG